This 77-nucleotide transfer RNA is filed under the name Bacteroidetes bacterium QS_8_64_10. RNAcentral's name for it is "tRNA-Met". It matches the Rfam family "tRNA". Rfam says of the family: Transfer RNA (tRNA) molecules are approximately 80 nucleotides in length. Their secondary structure includes four short double-helical elements and three loops (D, anti-codon, and T loops). The record is from RNAcentral. Lineage: Bacteria; Pseudomonadati; Bacteroidota.
CGCGGGGUAGAGCAGACUGGUAGCUCAUCGGGCUCAUAACCCGAAGGUCGCAGGUUCGAAUCCUGCCCCCGCUACUA